This 634-nucleotide ribosomal RNA is filed under the name Penicillium ehrlichii. Its description in RNAcentral is "eukaryotic LSU rRNA". It matches the Rfam family "Eukaryotic large subunit ribosomal RNA", at positions 1 to 649 of the family's 3401-position model. Lineage: Eukaryota; Fungi; Ascomycota; Eurotiomycetes; Eurotiales; Aspergillaceae. The record is from RNAcentral.
UUGACCUCGGAUCAGGUAGGGAUACCCGCUGAACUUAAGCAUAUCAAUAAGCGGAGGAAAAGAAACCAACAGGGAUUGCCUCAGUAACGGCGAGUGAAGCGGCAAGAGCUCAAAUUUGAAAGCUGGCUCCUUCGGGGUCCGCAUUGUAAUUUGCAGAGGAUGCUUCGGGAGCGGCCCCCAUCUAAGUGCCCUGGAACGGGCCGUCAUAGAGGGUGAGAAUCCCGUCUGGGAUGGGGUGCCCGCGCCCGUGUGAAGCUCCUUCGACGAGUCGAGUUGUUUGGGAAUGCAGCUCUAAAUGGGUGGUAAAUUUCAUCUAAAGCUAAAUACUGGCCGGAGACCGAUAGCGCACAAGUAGAGUGAUCGAAAGAUGAAAAGCACUUUGAAAAGAGAGUUAAACAGCACGUGAAAUUGUUGAAAGGGAAGCGCUUGCGACCAGACUCGCCCGCGGGGUUCAGCCGGCAUUCGUGCCGGUGUACUUCCCCGCGGGCGGGCCAGCGUCGGUUUGGGCGGCCGGUCAAAGGCCCUCGGAAUGUAACGCCCCCCGGGGCGCCUUAUAGCCGAGGGUGCCAUGCGGCCAGCCCAGACCGAGGAACGCGCUUCGGCUCGGACGCUGGCAUAAUGGUCGUAAGCGACC